Molecule: ribosomal RNA, 451 nt
Filed under: uncultured bacterium
Lineage: Bacteria
Description: partial 16S ribosomal RNA
Rfam family: Bacterial small subunit ribosomal RNA
Source: RNAcentral
AGCGAACGCUGGCGGCAUGCCUAACACAUGCAAGUCGCACGGGGGGGCUUCGGCCUCCCAGUGGCGGACGGGUGAGGAACGCGUAGGGUCCUGUCGAGGUGUGGGGGAUAACCGCGGGAAACUGCGGCUAAUACCGCAUGACGCCGCGGCGUGACAGCCGGGGCCAAAGGCGCCAGCCGCCCGCGGAGGGGCCUGCGUCCGAUUAGCUGGUUGGCGGGGUAGCGGCCCAACAAGGCGUGGAUCGGUAGCUGGUAUGAGAGGCUGAUCAGCCACACCGGGACUGGGACGCGGCCCGGACUCCUACGGGAGGCAGCAGUGGGGAAUAGUGGACAAUGGGCGCAAGGCUGAUCCAGUAAUGCCGCGUGGGUGAAGAAGGUCUGCGGAUUGUAAAGCCCUUGCGGCGGGGACGAUGUUGACGGUACCCGCAGAAGAAGCCCCGGCUAACUUCGUG